This 2507-nucleotide ribosomal RNA is filed under the name Clostridioides difficile. RNAcentral's name for it is "bacterial LSU rRNA". It matches the Rfam family "Bacterial large subunit ribosomal RNA", at positions 394 to 2925 of the family's 2925-position model. Lineage: Bacteria; Bacillati; Bacillota; Clostridia; Peptostreptococcales; Peptostreptococcaceae. The record is from RNAcentral.
CUUUAGAUAUGAUCCAGAGUACCACGGGACACGUGAAACCCUGUGGGAAGCAGGAGGGACCACCCUCCAAGGCUAAAUACUACCUAGUGACCGAUAGCGUAUAGUACCGUGAGGGAAAGGUGAAAAGAACCCCGGGAGGGGAGUGAAAUAGAACCUGAAACCCUGCACUUACAAGCUGUGGAAGCACAUUUCUUGUGUGACCGCGUACUUUUUGUAGAACGGGCCAACGAGUUACGUUAAGUAGCAAGGUUAAGCACUUAAGGUGUGGAGCCGUAGCGAAAGCGAGUUUUAACUGAGCGUUCAGUUACUUGACGUAGACCCGAAACCGGGCGACCUACCCAUGAGCAGGAUGAAGCGAAAGUAAAAUUUCGUGGAGGUCCGAACCCACGAGCGUUGAAAAGCUCGGGGAUGACUUGUGGGUAGCGGUGAAAUUCCAAUCGAGCCCGGAGAUAGCUGGUUCUCCCCGAAAUAGCUUUAGGGCUAGCCUCAAGGUGAGAGAUACGGAGGUAGAGCACUGAAUGUCCUAGGGGGUAUUGCACCUACCGAAGACUAUCAAACUCCGAAUGCCGUCAUCUUAUACUUGGGAGUCAGACUGUGGGUGAUAAGAUUCAUAGUCGAAAGGGCAACAGCCCAGAUCGUCAGCUAAGGUCCCUAAAUGUAAGUUAAGUGGUAAAGGAUGUGGGAUUGCACAGACAACCAGGAUGUUGGCUUAGAAGCAGCCACUCAUUCAAAGAGUGCGUAAUAGCUCACUGGUCGAGUGAUCCUGCGCCGAAGAUUUCCGGGGCUAAAACUUACUACCGAAGCUACGGCAUCAUUAUGAUGGGUAGGGGAGCUUCCCAUACGGGUUGAAGCAUGACCGUAAGGACAUGUGGACAGUAUGGGAGUGAGAAUGUUGGCAUGAGUAGCGAGAUGUGGGUGAGAAUCCCACAGGCCGUAAACCCAAGGUUUCCAGGGGAAGGUUCGUCCGCCCUGGGUUAGUCGGGACCUAAGCUGAGGCCGAAAGGCGUAGGUGAUGGACAACAGGUUGAUAUUCCUGUACUACCGAUAACCGUUUGAGAGAUGGGAUGACACAGUAGGAUAAGCUAAGCACACUGUUGGUUAUGUGUGCCCAAGCAUUGAGGCAGUCAGAGUAGGUAAAUCCGCUUUGAUAAUGCUGGGAUGUGAUGGGGAGCGAAAUUUAGUAGCGAAGUAGCUGAUUUCACACUGUCAAGAAAAGUCUCUAUCGAGGUUAAAGGUACCCGUACCGCAAACCGACACAGGUGGGUGAGGAGAGUAUCCUAAGGCCCGCGAGAGAACUGUUGUUAAGGAACUCGGCAAAAUGACCCCGUAACUUAGGGAUAAGGGGUGCCACCAUCCGGUGGCCGCAGAGAAUAGGCCCAAGCGACUGUUUACCAAAAACAUAGGUUUCUGCUAAGUCGCAAGACGAUGUAUAGGAGCUGACGCCUGCCCGGUGCUGGAAGGUUAAGGGGAUCUGUUAGAGCAAUCGAAGCAGUGAACUUAAGCCCCAGUAAACGGCGGCCGUAACUAUAACGGUCCUAAGGUAGCGAAAUUCCUUGUCGGGUAAGUUCCGACCCGCACGAAAGGCGUAACGAUUUGGGCACUGUCUCAACAACAGACUCGGUGAAAUUGUAAUUCCGGUGAAGAUGCCGGAUACCUGCGACAGGACGGAAAGACCCCAUGGAGCUUUACUGUAGCUUGACAUUGGGUCUUGGUACUACAUGUACAGGAUAGGUGGGAGGCUUUGAAACCAGGACGCCAGUUUUGGCGGAGCCAUCCUUGGGAUACCACCCUUGUAGUACUGGGACUCUAACCAUAGGCCAUGAAUCUGGUCUUGGGACACUGUCAGGUGGGCAGUUUGACUGGGGCGGUCGCCUCCCAAAAGGUAACGGAGGCGCUCAAAGGUUCUCUCAGUACGGUCGGAAAUCGUACGUAGAGUGUAAAGGCAAAAGAGAGCUUGAUUGCAAGACAUACAGGUCGAGCAAGGAUGAAAAUCGGACUUAGUGAUCCGGUGGUUCUGCGUGGAAGGGCCAUCGCUCAACGGAUAAAAGCUACCCUGGGGAUAACAGGCUUAUCUCCCCCAAGAGUCCACAUCGACGGGGAGGUUUGGCACCUCGAUGUCGGCUCAUCACAUCCUGGGGCUGUAGUAGGUCCCAAGGGUUGGGCUGUUCGCCCAUUAAAGUGGUACGCGAGCUGGGUUCAGAACGUCGUGAGACAGUUCGGUCCCUAUCCGUCGCAGGCGUAGGAAAUUUGAGAAGACCUGUCCUUAGUACGAGAGGACCGGGAUGGACGUACCUCUGGUGUACCAGUUGUUCUGCCAAGGGCAUGGCUGGGUAGCUAUGUACGGAAUGGAUAAGCGCUGAAAGCAUCUAAGCGCGAAGCCAACUUCAAGAUAAGAUUUCCCACCGCAAGGGUAAGACCCCAGAAAGACUAUCUGGUUGAUAGGUCGAAGGUGUAAGUGCAGCAAUGUAUUUAGCUUAUCGAUACUAAUAGGUCGAGGACUUGACCAA